GUCGGGUUGUUGCUGGCCUCUAGGGGCAUGUGCACGCCUGCCACCGUUUUCAACCACCUGUGCACCUUUUGUAGACUCUUUGGGAUACCUUUCGGAGGGGUUCUUGCCCCUUCGGUUUGGGGACUGCCGUGCUACUAUUACUAGUGGUCGGCUUUCCUUACAUUUCCCAGGUCUAUGUCUUUUAUAUACCCCGUAAUGAAUGUAUUAGAAUGUCUUUGUUAAUGGCCUUUGGUGCCUUUAAUCAAAUACAACUUUCAGCAACGGAUCUCUUGGCUCUCGCAUCGAUGAAGAACGCAGCGAAAUGCGAUAAGUAAUGUGAAUUGCAGAAUUCAGUGAAUCAUCGAAUCUUUGAACGCACCUUGCGCUCCUUGGUAUUCCGAGGAGCAUGCCUGUUUGAGUGUCAUUAAAUUCUCAACCUAACCAGCUUUUGUGUUAGUGCUUGGAUGUGGGACUUGCGGGCUUCGCAGAAGUCGGCUGUCCUUAAAUGCAUUAGUGGAAACCUUUGGUUGACCUUGUCCCCUGGUGUGAUAAUUAUCUACAUCGCGGGCAGUCAGCUAUUGUAAAUGGGUUUUCUGCUGACAACCUUUGUCACCUUACCCGGAGACGCUUUUGACAAUUGACCUCAAAUCAGG
Molecule: ribosomal RNA, 632 nt
Filed under: Termitomyces sp. DKA-2007
Lineage: Eukaryota; Fungi; Basidiomycota; Agaricomycetes; Agaricales; Lyophyllaceae
Description: eukaryotic LSU rRNA
Rfam family: 5.8S ribosomal RNA (bases 250-403)
Source: RNAcentral